RNAcentral lists this unclassified non-coding RNA (403 nucleotides) under Helianthus debilis subsp. cucumerifolius. Its description in RNAcentral is "partial trnH-psbA intergenic spacer". Lineage: Eukaryota; Viridiplantae; Streptophyta; Magnoliopsida; Asterales; Asteraceae. The record is from RNAcentral.
CUCUACUAUUAUCUAGUAUUACUAUAUUUUUCCAUUAACAUAAAAAAGCAUAUUCUUUCUCAUUUUUAUUGAAUAAAUAAAAGUAAUAAAUAAGCAAAAUUUUCAUUUUUAUCUAGAAUUUCAUUUUUAUCUAGAAUUUAAAUUGUUAAAAAAAAACUUCAUAAAAGAUUAGGAAAAGUAAAAGUAUAUGAUAUAGAAACCUAUAAUAUAAAUGAAUACAAAUAAAAACAAACAAAUCGAACCAAAUUAUAAAAAGUACUUGUUAUUUUUAAAGUUUAAAGAAACUAUGUAAGGCAAAUAGUACUAAAUAAAAAAAGGAGCAAUAACGCCCUCUUGUUUUAUCAAGAGGGAAGCUAUUGCUCCUUUUUUAGUUCAAAAACUCCUAUACAAUCAGACCAAAGUC